AACGAACGCUGGCGGCAUGCCUAACACAUGCAAGUCGAACGAGACCUUCGGGUCUAGUUGCGCACGGGUGCGUAACGCGGGGGAACCUGCCCUUAGGUUCGGAAUAACUCCCCGAAAGGGGUGCUAAUACAGGAUAAUGUCUUCGGACCAAAGAUUUAUCGCCUUUGGAUGGGGCCGCGUUGGAUUAGCUAGUUGGUAGGGUAAAAGCCUACCAAGGCGACGAUCCAUAGCUGGUCUGAGAGGAUGAUCAGCCACACUGGGACUGAGACACGGCCCAGACUCCUACGGAAGGCAGCAGUGGGGAAUAUUGGACAAUGGGCGAAAGCGUGAUCCAGCAGUGCCGCGUGAGUCAUGAAGGCCUUAGGGUUGUAAAGCUCUUUUACCCGGGAUGAUAAUGACAGUACCGGGAGAAUAAGCUCCGGCUAACUCCGUG
Molecule: ribosomal RNA, 433 nt
Filed under: uncultured bacterium
Lineage: Bacteria
Description: partial 16S ribosomal RNA
Rfam family: Bacterial small subunit ribosomal RNA
Source: RNAcentral